Molecule: unclassified non-coding RNA, 520 nt
Filed under: uncultured Glomus
Lineage: Eukaryota; Fungi; Glomeromycota; Glomeromycetes; Glomerales; Glomeraceae
Description: SSU rRNA
Rfam family: Eukaryotic small subunit ribosomal RNA
Source: RNAcentral
AGCAGCCGCGGUAAUUCCAGCUCCAAUAGCGUAUAUUAAAGUUGUUGCAGUUAAAAAGCUCGUAGUUGAAUUUCGGGAUCAAUAUGUUGGUCGUGCCUUGGUACGUACUGGCGUCAUUGGUUUCUACCUUCUGAAGAACCUCGAUGUCAUUAAUUUGGUGUCUUGGGGAAUCAGGACUGUUACUUUGAAAAAAUUAGAGUGUUUAAAGCAAGCUCACGCUUGAAUACAUUAGCAUGGAAUAAUGAAAUAGGACGUUUGAUUCUAUUUUGUUGGUUUCUAGGAUCGACGUAAUGAUUAAUAGGGAUAGUUGGGGGCAUUAGUAUUCAAUUGUCAGAGGUGAAAUUCUUGGAUUUAUUGAAGACUAACUACUGCGAAAGCAUUUGCCAAGGAUGUUUUCAUUAAUCAAGAACGAAAGUUAGGGGAUCGAAGACGAUCAGAUACCGUCGUAGUCUUAACCAUAAACUAUGCCGACUAGGGAUCGGAUGGAUGUUAAUUUUUAAUGUACUCAUUCGGCGCCUUA